This 464-nucleotide ribosomal RNA is filed under the name uncultured bacterium. RNAcentral describes it as "partial 16S ribosomal RNA". It matches the Rfam family "Bacterial small subunit ribosomal RNA", at positions 339 to 795 of the family's 1533-position model. The record is from RNAcentral.
CUACGGGUUGCACCAGUGGGGAAUAUUGCACAAUGGGCGCAAGCCUGAUGCAGCCAUGCUGCGUGUAUGAAGAAGGCCUUCGGGUUGUAAAGUACUUUCAGCGGGGAGGAAGGGAGUAAAGUUAAUACCUUUGCUCAUUGACGUUACCCGCAGAAGAAGCACCGGCUAACUCCGUGCCAGCAGCCGCGGUAAUACGGAGGGUGCAAGCGUUAAUCGGAAUUACUGGGCGUAAAGCGCACGCAGGCGGUUUGUUAAGUCAGAUGUGAAAUCCCCGGGCUCAACCUGGGAAAUGCAUCUGAUACUGGCAGGCUUGAGUCUCGUAGAGGGGGGUAGAAUUCCAGGUGUAGCGGUGAAAUGCGUAGAGAUCUGGAGGAAUACCGGUGGCGAAGGCGGCCCCCUGGACGAAGACUGACGCUCAGGUGCGAAAGCGUGGGGAGCAAACAGGAUUAGAUACCCGCGUAGUC